AGUGAACGCUGGCGGCAGGCCUAACACAUGCAAGUCGAACGGCAGCACAGUAAGAGCUUGCUCUUAUGGGUGGCGAGUGGCGGACGGGUGAGGAAUACAUCGGAAUCUACCUUUUCGUGGGGGAUAACGUAGGGAAACUUACGCUAAUACCGCAUACGACCUUCGGGUGAAAGCAGGGGACCUUCGGGCCUUGCGCGAUUAGAUGAGCCGAUGUCGGAUUAGCUAGUUGGUGAGGUAAAGGCUCACCAAGGCGACGAUCCGUAGCUGGUCUGAGAGGAUGAUCAGCCACACUGGAACUGAGACACGGUCCAGACUCCUACGGGAGGCAGCAGUGGGGAAUAUUGGACAAUGGGCGCAAGCCUGAUCCAGCCAUGCCGCGUGGGUGAAGAAGGCCUUCGGGUUGUAAAGCCCUUUUGUUGGGAAAGAAAAGCAGUCGAUUAAUACUCGAUUGUUCUGACGGUACCCAAAGAAUAAGCACCGGCUAACUUCGUGCCAGCAGCCGCUGUAA
This 508-nucleotide ribosomal RNA is filed under the name uncultured bacterium. RNAcentral's name for it is "partial 16S ribosomal RNA". It matches the Rfam family "Bacterial small subunit ribosomal RNA", at positions 29 to 523 of the family's 1533-position model. The record is from RNAcentral.